Non-coding RNA from Rattus norvegicus (Norway rat), 3886 nucleotides. The record is from RefSeq and is a predicted model, not a curated record. Lineage: Eukaryota; Metazoa; Chordata; Mammalia; Rodentia; Muridae.
UGAUAAAAUGUAGCCACCAGUAACAAUCUCCACUUGCCUGUAACCCCAGCAUUUGGUAAAUUGAGGCAGGAGGAUCAAGAGUUCAAGGCUAACCUGGCCUACAAAGUAAGACAGUUUCUCCAUAAACCAAUAACACAAAACUACACCAAGCCACUUACUUAGGAAUUUUCAUUAACAGACAUAAGCAUACAGUGGCAUUUUGUGGGAGAUAAGAACACGCCAGGAAAUUUGGCAAAGUAGAGCUGGUAGAGACCCGGAAACUCAGUGGGCACAUACCUUGGGUGACUCCCAGCUCCCUGCCAGACUCCUGACUUGGAACAUGUGCCAUGCUUCUCACAUAAAAGGAACCAUGUCUUAUGGUCACAUAGGCUCAAAACAGAGUUCUCCAUGCUAAUGAGGUACCUAGAGGCCCGGAGGGCUUAGCCAACAAGCUUCCCUUCCCAAACAUUUCACCCUCCAAAAGGUAUUUAAUCUCAGACCUACCCUGAUAAAUUAGGUAUGGUUUUACACAUCUAUUUUUUGCCAUGACCAUAAACUCUUUAGAACCAUGGGCUGUCUCUUUUCAUCAAGAUCCACUGUGGGGAGCCAUUAAGAAGGCCUUUGCCUACAGAGCUGCAGCCUAAUCAUCCAUAGAAGGCCACUCUAUACUCCCAGCCACAACUGCCACCAAGCCUGCCUCCACCAAGACUCUGUCCUCUGCUCUUCCAUGACUCCCAGAAGCUCCUGGAUGUCCAAGAGUCUGAGAAUCACAAGACCCUGGCCUCAUUGCAGGCCCACUUUUCCCACAUCUCAGACUGCUCUUUGCCACCCCUGGAACAGUUCCUCUGAGCUUGCCUAAGGCCCAGCACUCACCUGACAUCAGCAUGGUGGAAACCACAGAGAGCUCUGAUCCAUGGACCUGUACAAAAGCCUGGGCUGACAUAUCAAUUUGAUCUCAUCACCCUGAGAAAACAGAAUCUCGAAUGCUAUCCUCAGAGCUGCCGGCAAAGGGGACAAACAGAAUGAAGAUGCAGCAUAUGAGCUAAUUUGCAUGCCCCUCUUUCACUCUGAGCUUGGAUGUAUUGAGAGAAAAAUGUUCAAUGCAACCAUUAUAAAAGAGGGGAUGAUGCUAAUGGAAACCUCUUUUGGAUGCGAUGCUUUAAGUCUUCAACAGGUGAUACAUGUUUGUAUAAGGGCUGUACUCAAUAUUUUCUUCACUAAUUUUAUUGUUUCUCUUUAAGAAAAAAUUUGAGAGACCACCAAUGUUAGUCAAUACUUGUUUAGUUCUCUUUACCUUUCUCCUUUGGAACAACUCAAGGCCCUACCAAUACUUUGAGAGGAAUUUUCCCCCUCUUCUUUCAUAUGUACUUCAUCCAAACACUCUACUUUCCCAUGUCUUCUAGAAACCAAAACCUUCUGGGUUUUGACCCAGUUCCACCAUUUAACUUUCUGCCUUUCCUACCUAGAAUAUUGCUGCAUUCUUCAGAAUCAGACCUCUCUUUGCUGAAUAUACAAGGGAGGAAUAUUGAUAGCUGUAUGUUGAAAAUAUGAAAUACUCAGAUGGCUGUCCAUAAGGAUUAAGAAUUAUUGACUUAAUCAGAUAGACGUCAUCUGCAGAUACCUCAAAAGCUGACCAAAUGUUAAAAACAUUCAGCUGGAUAUAGGUACUAUGACAUUUUGUGUCUUUAUUAGCUAGGAAGGAACCAAGAAAAUCAUAAUUUUAGACAGGCAAAGAAUGUAAAAAAAUGAGAAUGAACUAGAAAAGCAGGGAAAUUAAUGCCCCCACUACGUAAGUAUCAACCACAAAGAAGAAAAAAUUAAAAAAAAACAUUCCCUAGAAAAUACUCUAGUAAUAAGCAGCAGGGUUUAGAAUGAGCGACUAGAUAUCAGCAAGUGCAUCUGGUCUGCUCCGUACACAAUGCAGAACCCUUGCAGACAAUACAUUUUCAUUUUCACUGUUCCAUGAUAAAAUAAUAUGUGGCAAGGGGGAAGAAUUCAAGACAGGAAUUUAAAAGACUUAUCUCAGAAUUCACUCUGAGAGAAGAUACGUUUAAUAUAUGUGAGUUUUAAAAAGGCUUCACUUGGAGUGUCAACACAAUAACAAGACAAAGAAUUAAAUGCUCAAGGGAUACUAACUCAAUGGUAAGAAAUCAGUAAACAGCUAAUUAGCCUGGGUCCAUACCCCAGCAUUUGCCAUUAUCGCCUAAUGAUAGAUCCUCUCCUUGUCAUUGAGAUAUUAACAGUACUUAUGCAAAAAGUCAUUAAAAAUAGUUUUCUGUGUUUGCUUUUAUCUUACUAUUUACUCACCUACAGGGCCACAUUUUAAUGAGAUUUUCAUAAAAUUUUCUCCAUCAUUUGCUAGAUUUAUAAAAUCAAGCCUAUCUUAUAGUAAAGGGAAUUCUUGGAAACAAAACAAGAAAGAAACACAGAAAACUGGGAAGCUCUAUGAAAGACUUCAAAAAAUAUUUGCAAAGAACCUUAAUGGUUAGCAGAAGGGAUAAAAUGUCUUGUACAGUUGAAGAGUAAGGGACAAAAGGCAGGAAGAAUAUUGCCAUCACAAUACAUAUAAAAUCAGAGGGCUAGGAAAGGAAACAUAAAGGCCUAUAUUGAGUUAACGUUUUUAAUAUCUUCACAUAAUUCACAAUAAGAAAGAUGUAAAUGCUUUGCAAAGUGUCUAUUCACAUUCCCACAGGAAACUACAGUCCCGAGUCUUGCCAUACAUUGCCGUAUGAAAUCACAGCAGGCAAAUUAUAGAUACCUGGUGUAUAUCAAUAAAUAAGUCACUGAAUGGAACUAUGAUUUAAAGUAAAUUUGCCAGAAUAGGAACUGUGGAUUUGAACAGUAGUCAUCAUUUUUCCUGAGGUUUAUUGUUUCCUUCAUUAUUUAAUUCAUAAAUAUUUAAAAUGCACACAGAAGAUAAACAUUUUGGGCCAAAACUAAUGCACAAGGCAGCAGAAUGGGUGGGGUCUGUGAUGUUAUUCAACAAAACAAGGAAAUUUAUUUUUUCAAAAAGCUGAUAUAAAUUAACUGUUUUUUCAGAUCCUGAAAAAAAUUCUAAAAUAGAAAAAGAAGGAGAAUUAGCGCUAAGACACCAAAAGAGGGGAAGAUAGAGAAGAUUGGAUUAUCUGGAAAACACAGUGGUCUUCCUGAAUCCCAGUUCUCUCUUCUGUUAAAUGAGAAGCCAGAGAUCCAGCUCUAACAUUCUACGGAGCUAACCUCUUUAGACCACCUAUUCCUAACCCAGCCAUGAUGUGAGCAUGCGAGAAGACCUUGUAAAACCUCCAGGAAGCACGGCAGACAGACAUAAAUAGAGUUUAUAAUGAGAAACAGCAGCACAUAAAUAAGAGAAGUUGGCGAAACCACAUCCUUUAUAAAAGUGGAGGGGCUGUGGUCUAGAGCAAGUAAGACACACAGAGUGAGAGAGAGAGAGAGAGAGAGAGAGAGAGAGAGAGAGAGAGAGAGAGAGAGAGAGAGAUAACUUCCCCCAUGUCACCCUCAAUAACAAUGCUAAUUACCUGAUGGAAACGGCAUCCAGACAGCCUAAAAUUGUUAGGUUUCCACAGUAUCACUGAUCUGAUGCAGACAGCAAAAUUAGAUUUCUAAAAUAUGCCUAUUAAAUGAAAGGCAUUCAGAAAGCACACCCCACAAGAAAGUCAAGUAGUGAGGUUGCCAUGAAAUUCAAACGAGAGGGGGAAAGAAGUUGUGUUUUGACAGUGGGUUUGAAAAGGUUUCAUUCAAAUAUCACCAUUAACCUUGUUUUCUCAUUUCAGAACGUCGUUCAUUACCUUUCUGUUUCAACCUCCAGGUUGAGUCACAGCCACUACCGCUGUUCUUUGACAACUGAGAUGCCUGACAAAGUGUAGUCAUUUUCAGAUUUAAAGAGUGAAAAUAAAAGCUUCUAAAAUUA